This 520-nucleotide ribosomal RNA is filed under the name uncultured bacterium. RNAcentral describes it as "bacterial SSU rRNA". It matches the Rfam family "Bacterial small subunit ribosomal RNA", at positions 9 to 524 of the family's 1533-position model. The record is from RNAcentral.
GAGUUUGAUCCUGGCUCAGAUUGAACGCUGGCGGCAUGCCUUACACAUGCAAGUCGAACGGUAACAGGUCUUCGGAUGCUGACGAGUGGCGAACGGGUGAGUAAUACAUCGGAACGUGCCCGAUCGUGGGGGAUAACUACUCGAAAGAGUGGCUAAUACCGCAUACGAUCUACGGAUGAAAGCAGGGGACCCGCAAGGGCCUUGCGCGGACGGAGCGGCCGAUGGCAGAUUAGGUAGUUGGUGGGAUAAAAGCUUACCAAGCCGACGAUCUGUAGCUGGUCUGAGAGGACGACCAGCCACACUGGGACUGAGACACGGCCCAGACUCCUACGGGAGGCAGCAGUGGGGAAUUUUGGACAAUGGGGGAAACCCUGAUCCAGCAAUGCCGCGUGCAGGAUGAAGGCCUUCGGGUUGUAAACUGCUUUUGUACGGAACGAAAAGGUCUUUUCUAAUAAAGAAGGCCCAUGACGGUACCGUAAGAAUAAGCACCGGCUAACUACGUGCCAGCAGCCGCGGUAAU